AAAACAGUAACGUGUCCAUGUGAUGGUUUAAAGCAGUAAUAAUCAUGUCCGUGUGCGGGAUUAAAGCAGUACCAUCAGGUCCAUGUGCAGGAUGAAAACAGUAACAUCAUGUCCAUGUGCGGGAUUGACGCAAUAACACAUCCACGUGCGGGAUUAAAGCAAUAAAAUGCAUAUUUGCGGGAUUACAGAAGUAAUAAUCAUGUCUGUGUGUGGGAUUAAAGCUGUGGUUAACUUUAUGUCCAUGUGCGGGAUGAAAGCAGUAACAGUCAUGUCUGUGUGCGGGAUUAAAGCAGUAACUUCAUGUCCAUGUGCGGGAUGAAAGCAGUUAUAAUCAUGUCUGUGUGCGGGAUUUAAAGCAUAAUAAUCAUGUCUGUGUGCGGGAUUAAAGCAGUAACUUCAUGUCCAUGUGCGGGAGGAAAGCAGUUAUAAUCAUGUGCGUGAUUAAAGCAGUAACAUGUCCAUGUGAACGAUGAAAGCAGUAAUAAUCAUGUCCAUGUGCGGGAUUACAGCAGUAACUUCAUGUCCAACUUCAUAUAACAGAAGCACAUCUGAUCUAUGCAGAAGUUCUUGCUGUCCCUUUAACGCACGUGCGUCUGAAGCAGAGGACAGAAAAACAGCGUGUAGACCCCGCGCAGAGAAAUAUGAUCUAACAGAAGCACGGGAAUCACAGGCACGAGCGUGGAAAACUCAGGUGCAAGCACAAUUUCCUACUCAGAAGCUCUUUUGGAUAAAGCUGUGUUCUCUGUCCUGCUGUGCUCGACGACUUGUGAACUAAUCGCAGUAACGACGAGACACACCGUGGCUGUGUGCUGCAGUUCCAGCGUGAGAAAUGAGCUGCAGUAUCAUGUAGAUGUUACACAUUUGUUGUGUUUAUGAUUAACAGGGC
This is a long non-coding RNA of Ictalurus punctatus (channel catfish), 886 nucleotides long. Lineage: Eukaryota; Metazoa; Chordata; Actinopteri; Siluriformes; Ictaluridae. The record is from Ensembl.